Molecule: transfer RNA, 111 nt
Filed under: Lachancea lanzarotensis
Lineage: Eukaryota; Fungi; Ascomycota; Saccharomycetes; Saccharomycetales; Saccharomycetaceae
Rfam family: tRNA
About the family: Transfer RNA (tRNA) molecules are approximately 80 nucleotides in length.
Source: Rfam by way of RNAcentral
GUCAGUUUGGCCGAGUGGUUAAGGCGAUAGACUCGAAUUAAUUGAUCGUUUCAGAUCAAGAUUGCAAUCUAUUGGGCUCUGCCCGCAUCGGUUCAAAUCCGAUAGCUGACG